Molecule: ribosomal RNA, 230 nt
Filed under: Septobasidiaceae sp.
Lineage: Eukaryota; Fungi; Basidiomycota; Pucciniomycetes; Septobasidiales; Septobasidiaceae
Description: partial large subunit ribosomal RNA
Source: RNAcentral
AAACGAUUGAAGUCAGUCUUGAUCUUGGUUGUUCAGCCUUCGGGUGUAUUCAAUCUUGAACAGGCCAGCAUCAGUUUCGGAUGUCGGAAAAGGGUGAAGGAAACGUAGCAGCCUCGGCUGUGUUAUAGUCCUACACUUGAUACGACGUCUGGGACUGAGGAACGCAGUGAGCCGUAUGGCGGACCCUCGGGUCUUCUCACUAUGGAUGUUGGCGUAAUGGCUUUAAACGA